CGGCCUUAAAUUUUCACUGAAUGUGUCAUUCAUUACCCAAUUAUUUUUCAUUUCAGAAAACACCGGUAGAAUUCCAUCUACCAGGAGGAAUUCAGAAGUUCAAUGAUGUCUACAUGGAAGCUACCUUCCGGAAGGAUAUGAAGACCGUCGUGUACGACUGGUGGUGGAGUAAGACGAUGGACUUCCCGCUGUUCGAAGUGACGAGCGAACAGUACAGGGAGAAAAUGCUCCAGUACUACAUCGAGGACUACAACACCAAGUCCAAGGACGUAGGAACAGGGACUUCUACUACGUCACUGGAGAGGAGACGCGCACCAGGUUCUUUUACGACGUCAAGGACCGUUACCUCGUGAUACGAAUCAACGGCAGGUAUUCCCUGUUUGAGCUUCUCGACAGGUUCGCCGAUGCGUCACCCUACGACCGUUUCUACAUAAAAGGUGACCUUGACAUAAAGGUCAUCAGAAUUCCUUACGAGGACCCUUUGCCGGUGCCUCUUUCCCUGCCCCUCACCUCGGCGGGCAUACUGAAAGGCGACCGCUACGAAAUAAAAGGAAAGAAUCCGAGGAACGCCCAACAGUUGAGUGCCAAGACAACGAAAUCACCGAGGAUGUCUGAAGAAUCUGCUCAAAGUUUUCUGUUUUGUUUUUGUUUGUUUUUUUGUUUGCGACGUAAUGCUUAGUCUUUUUUUUUUUUCGUUGCUUGGGCGGUUUCAGUGAGGCUCUCAGCGGACGAGACGUGCUCGAAAGCUACAGCAAGUAGACACUGCGAACAAGUAGGAAAG
This is a long non-coding RNA of Rhipicephalus sanguineus (brown dog tick), 781 nucleotides long. RefSeq lists it as uncharacterized. The transcript is spliced from 4 exons. Lineage: Eukaryota; Metazoa; Arthropoda; Arachnida; Ixodida; Ixodidae. The record is from RefSeq and is a predicted model, not a curated record.